GGAGGGACUGUGGCUCAGUGGAAGAGCCUUUGCUUUGCAUGCAGAAAGUCUCAGGUUCAAUCCCCAGUAUCUCCA
Molecule: transfer RNA, 75 nt
Filed under: Sphaerodactylus townsendi
Lineage: Eukaryota; Metazoa; Chordata; Lepidosauria; Squamata; Sphaerodactylidae
Description: tRNA-Ala
Rfam family: tRNA
About the family: Transfer RNA (tRNA) molecules are approximately 80 nucleotides in length.
Source: RNAcentral